AGUCAACGUUGGCGGCGUGCGUAACACAUGCAAGUCGAACGACCCCUAGAUGGCUUGCCAUCUUGGGAGAGUGGCGAACGGGUGAGUAACACGUGAGUAAUCUGCCCUCGAGUGAGGAAUAACUUCGCGAAAGCGGAGCUAAUACCGCAUGACACUAUGAAGCAUAAGCUUUUAUAGUCAAAGCCUUCGGGCGCUUGAGGAUGAGCUUGCGACUUAUUAGCUAGUUGGUAGGGUAACGGCCUACCAAGGUUAUGAUGAGUAGCCGGCCUGAGAGGGUGUCCGGCCACACUGGAACUUAGACACGGUCCAGACUCCUACGGGAGGCAGCAGUGGGGAAUUUUGCGCAAUGGGCGAAAGCCUGACCCAGCAACACCGCGUGGGGGAUGAAGGCCUUCGGGUCGUAAACCCCUUUUCCCAGGGAAGAAUAAUGACGGUACCUGGGGAAUAAGUCUCGGCUAACUACGUG
This 466-nucleotide ribosomal RNA is filed under the name uncultured bacterium. RNAcentral describes it as "bacterial SSU rRNA". It matches the Rfam family "Bacterial small subunit ribosomal RNA", at positions 32 to 507 of the family's 1533-position model. The record is from RNAcentral.